GGACACACCCGGACUACUGGGGCGAACUCAGGGCCAACUGUCUGUACUGCCAAGCUAAGUUAAAUCGAUCUCAAAGCUGUCAUAGUAAGUCCAAAGCAAACGGGAGGCAAUUUAGGUCAAUACGGGACGUCACAGCAAUCCAAACACAGCGGGGAGAAUAGGGCAGGUAGAUCAGGAGAUUUCCCCACAGAGACAAGUGAGCAGCUCAUCAACAAGUCCAUAAAGCCCAGCUCCUUCUUAGAAAAACCUUCCUUCCUUUGGCUUAUAGGGGUUCAAGUUCAAUGUCUCAAAAUUCAGUGACCUGCCGUGUUUAGUAGCUAUGUAUUAAUUAGAUACGACCGUUAGAUUAGAUAUGAGCGUGUCCUCAGCAGUGCUUUUGAGAUGUUUGUAUGUGUUUGCUGAAGUGCUCCGAGGUUUUCAUCUUUGGCGGGAAAGAUGUAUCUACAAAGAUGUUUCACCACUGCCUUCACAGAUUGUAGUUUUACCACCAUCUAAAACAAGCUGCAAUUUCACUACCAACAAAGGUCCUUUCAUCACAACAUCCACUCUAAUACUCUAAUAUCAUAAUUGUACUCCUUCUCUUACAGCUUAUCUCACUUCCUUUAAUCGGCCACACUAACAGGUUCCACAUUUUGAAGAGAAUGCUAUCUAUAUAAGAUGGACAUCUAGCAACAAUUGUCCUAUCAUCAAGUGAAUAAAGGAGCUUACUGUGUUUAUCUUCAUAUGUGUUUUUAUGUUAUUGAACUCUCAUUCUUAUUCUUCUCUCACUUUGACAGAACCAUAGUACAUUGAAAGUUUAGGGUUUCGAUGAUCAUGAUCAUGUCCAAUGCAUGAAAAUGUGACCAAACAGCUAUAUGACCAACUGGACUUGUAUUCAAGCCUUCAUAAUUUAUGAUUUACACCUAAUGUUUUUCAAGGAACUCCCUUAGUCAAGAUUGUGGUCAUAAACUAUAUUACAUACAGGAUGUAACUAACAUGGUGUUUUGGGCCUGAGGGUUGUUUGCAGUGAUUCACAGUGUGUUCUGAGUGGUGUGUAGUGUUUCACAUGAUUGUAGUGGUGAUUGGCACACUUUAAAUGAGCACUGAGCACGAACCUUUUAUACCGCACGUGUGUAGCAUGAUCACUAAUUAAGCACAGGUGCCUAGCAUUAUGCCACUCUCUAGGUGUUUCCCAUCACAAUAUUUCUACUUAUACCCGUGUCCACAAGCUAAUGGCAGUAUUGCCUGACGCUGUGUCCAUUGUAUCAAGGUUGGUGAUCGCGAUAUUCUUUGGUGUGGGCUUUCUAUACUUUUCUCUAUGUUUCAUGUAAAGAGUAUUGCCUGACGCUGUGUCCAUUGUGUCCAUUGUAUCGUUGGACCAGAUGUGAGUCGCUUGAGGACUGCCGGCCAUUGACCCUGUCCAAGCUGGGUCGUGUGUGUGAAUGAGAAUCAGAGAACCAGAAGAGCGGCUGGCUUGGCCGUGUCCCGAGAGAACGAGACUGACGCGCACGGCGCUGAAACCAUACGGACCUACCUGGACACCCCAGACAGACAUUUGAACGUUGAGUGCUGGCAAUACUUUUAGGAAGCGCAUUUUAAUGUUUAAUAUUUAUUAUCAAUUCCCUGGAGUCGCUAAAUAAAUCUAUUUUACUAUUAA
Long non-coding RNA from Clupea harengus (Atlantic herring), 1636 nucleotides. RefSeq lists it as uncharacterized. The record is from RefSeq and is a predicted model, not a curated record. Lineage: Eukaryota; Metazoa; Chordata; Actinopteri; Clupeiformes; Clupeidae. The transcript is spliced from 2 exons.